GCGUGGAAUAAGUGAGCCAGCUGAUCGAUCUUUUUUAAUUCAGGAUAGCAAGGGAUACGGUAUGGAGGUUUGCCGUACGCCGCGCCGGUGACGGAGGCCGCAGCUGGCGCCGUGACGGCAGAUUCCCGGAGCCGUGGCCCGGGACGCUGUUGUACUCCUGAUCCGUAGCUCAGGAACUGAGCACUCCGGUAAGCCGAGCUGUGGACCGUAGUAAAUGAGGAAGCAGGCCAGGGCGGUGCUGUCUCCCACCUCUCUCCACGUUUUGUUGGAUCGCCAUUGACGCCCCGCGGAGGUCGGCGGUGCAGGGAAAACAGGGCGGCGACUGUCGGGCUGGAGUUCCUGAUGCAAACUAUUAGGAGCGCCGCGGUGAUGGAAGAGGUCAACGACAACGAGCUACCAAUGGAGCCGCUGCACUACCCCGCGGUGGCGGCAGGAGCCGAGGAGCUACGGCCAAUGGGCACAGGUCGCGUUGACGACGAGAUCUGUGUAGCUCGUGGAGCAGUUGCAUCCGAGCAGGAUAAGGAACCACAAGCAUCUGAGCAAUCAAUUGGGCAGAUGAUCCAAAAACUCCGGCUGGACUCGCAGAGUUAGAAUUGGAGCUGCUGCUCCAGGAAGGGUGCCUUGCCCUGGCUGACCCAGCGCCCUUGAGAAGGCAAUACGGGGGUUCGGUGACAAACCAUGCAACAUUGUAAUCGUGCCAGAACUGGGUACAAGCUUCGACAAGCUCGGGGAGGCCUAUGAUUUUUAUUUGCAGGGUAAAGCAGGGGUGGAAACACACUAGAUCAUGCAGAUGUGUGUACCCUGCAUUAAUAAGACUGCUUCGAUCGAAGGACAAUGAUUGGUACAUAGCUGAGCAUCGAGAACAUCACAACCAUUCACUGUCUCCAACAUAUGGGCAGACAAUACACUGGCCUUCCCACAAGCACAUUGAUACAUACAAUGGAGAUUUGGGGAGCAGCUGCGUCAGAACAAUGUCAAUCUAGCCAAAGUGCAUAGCAUAAUAGGAAGCUUUUUGGUUCAAUGGAAAAGGUGCCAUUCACGAAAAGAGCUCUGAAAUUUUUGUGUGAAAAAAUCAGCAGAGAGCAAGCAGAGAAUGAUGUGAGGAAAACAAUGGAGGUUUUUGCAGGUCUGGGUUCAACGGACCCACACUUCACUUACCGUGUGCAGGCAGACAAGGAUGGUCGGAUAACAACUCUGAUGUGGGCAAAUGGGAGCAUUAGAUUGCAGUACACCUUCUUUGGAGAUGUUUUUACCUUCGAUACAACAUACAGAACAAAUCUGUACAACAUGCCGUUUGGUCUGUUUGUAGGAGUGAAUAAUCAUUUCCAGAGCAUCAUCUUGGCUGGGAUUUUGGUCCGUGAUGAAAAAGUGGAGACUUUUGAGUGGGUUUCCACAGAAUGCGUUAGGAUGAUGGCUGGAAGUGCACCAAAGACAAUUCUAACAGAUCAAAACCGUGCGAUGGAGGUUGCCAUAAAAAAUGUGAUGCCUCAAACAGCACACCGAUGGUGUAAGUGGCACGUGCUGAAAAAGGCGAAGGAAUCACUCGGUUCAUUGUACACCAAGAAGAGCGAGUUCACGGCACAGUUCCACAAGGUAGUAAAUCACAUGCUUACGAUCGAUGAAUUCGAGGAAGCAUGGAAGAUACUGGUUGAGUAAUAUAAUUUAAAGACGCAUGACUACAUGACUCGAACUGUAUGAAAUAAGACACGAGUGGGCGAAGCCAUAUUUCAAAGGUGUUUUCUGUGCUAAGAUGACAAGCACCCAAUGCAGUGAAAGUGCAAACCACAUGCUGAAGAGCUAUGUCCCACCUGGUUGUCUGAUGCAUAUGUUUGUCAAAAAAUACAUGAGACUGCAGUUUGACAGGGAAGCUGAGGAGAACUACGAGGAGAAACGGACACGAAUAGUAAGUCAACGUUUGGUAAUUGCCACUAGUUUUGUAGUGCUGACCUCUACGUUUCAGGGUAGAACACUAUACAAAGCAAACUUAGCUAUUGACAGACAUGCUGGUAAGAUAUAGACACGUGCUAUGUUCGAGCAGUUUGGACAUAUAAGGUAAAUGUUGAGUGCGGUGCAUACCAAGUUGAGGAGCUUGAGAAAGGGAAACUGUAUCUUGCGAUUCAUACAGAGGCUGCAAGGAGAGAAAAGUGGUGUAGGGUGUCAUAUAAGGUAAAUGUUCUUGAAGGAGGUGAGGAAUUCGAUUGCGAGUGUGGGCAAUUUGCACACAUGGGACUCCUUUGUAGCCAUGUUUUGAAGGUGAUGGAUUUCAUUCGUAUUACAGAGAUACCGCCGAAACACAUUGUGAAGCGAUGGACGAGGGACGCGUGUGAUGUGCUGCCAGCCCAUCUUACUCAAUACCAGAGAGAUCAUGCACACAAAAAUACAAGCACCAACAGCAGCUGCUGUGAGUGGGGGUGCAGGCAUCGAGGCAGUGAAUGAUGAUGCUACUUCUGGAAAUGAGACUGGGAACAGACACACUGGUUUAUUGGCGCCGAAGAAAUGGAAAGAAAUGGGGCGCCCAACAACCAGCCGGGAGAAGGCACCGUACGAGGGACUCAGCAAGCGGACAAUGUUCUGCAGCAUAUGUCGGCAGCAGGGGCACAAGAGGACUACAUGCCUGGACCGGGGAGAUGCCCCGAAGCCUGUUUGUAAACCAGCAAGGUGCAAGAAUUGUGGGAUUGAAGGUCACAGACGGAACAACUGCCAGAAAUUGGGUGAUUUACGGAUGAUUGGCUUGUGAGGAGGUGCAGCAGACUAUGUACUUAAGACAAUAAUUCUGUAGAGCUUAAUGUGUGCAACUGUAGUUCCAUGCUAUAGAAUUAUAGGUACCACCAUUUCUGAGCACUAUGGUGGUGUGUAUGCUUCUGAAUUUUUGGGCAAUAAGUUGGAGUUCAUAAUUGGAAAAUAUAAUAAAAAUGUACUGAGGUGAAGCAUACUGAA
Long non-coding RNA from Triticum dicoccoides, 2937 nucleotides. RefSeq lists it as uncharacterized. NCBI's taxonomy places the organism in Eukaryota, Viridiplantae, Streptophyta, Magnoliopsida, Poales, Poaceae. The transcript is spliced from 5 exons. The record is from RefSeq and is a predicted model, not a curated record.